UACGUAGGUGGCAAGCGUUGUCCGGAUUUACUGGGCGUAAAGGAUGCGUAGGCGGACUUUUAAGUGAGAUGUGAAAUCCCUAAGCUUAACUUAGGUGCUGCAUUUCAAACUGGAAGUCUAGAGUGCGGGAGAGGAGAGUGGAAUUCCUAGUGUAGCGGUGAAAUGCGUAGAGAUUAGGAAGAACACCAGUGGCGAAGGCGACUCUCUGGACCGUAACUGACGCUGAGGCAUGAAAGCGUGGGUAGCAAACAGG
RNAcentral lists this ribosomal RNA (253 nucleotides) under uncultured bacterium. RNAcentral's name for it is "partial 16S ribosomal RNA". It matches the Rfam family "Bacterial small subunit ribosomal RNA", at positions 524 to 776 of the family's 1533-position model. The record is from RNAcentral.